AUGGCGGCGGAUGAGGAGUCGGCGAGCAAGGGGAUGGCCGGCCAUGAACAUGAAGGGUGCUCGUCGAUGGCCGGUCAGUGGUGCCGGUGCGCCACCAAAAGGAAGGCCGAGAAGGCUGCGGCGGCUGGCGAGGAGUGUCCGCUGAAGGUGUGCAAAGCGGAGGCGGCGCCGGAAGUCGCCGCAGAUUCGUUGAAGCCGGCAGUGGAGGCCGUACGCGAGAAAAGGUUGACGCGGCUGACGCAGGAAGAGAUCAAUUGGACCCUUGCCUUUGUGGUGGAUGGUCCUGUCUCCCAUCACUACGAGUCCCUGAGGCGCGAAAACCCCAGCUUGGUGCCUUCACCGGAGGAGCAGAUGGACAGAGACUCGCCAAGUACCACGCACUUGUCCGGGCUGAGUAUGAGAAGCGCGGCUACGUCGAGGUCGACGACAACUUCCUCGUUGGAUGGCAAAGGAUUCUCCGGCCCUGAGAAUGAGGAUUUACUUUCAUGCACAUCUUUGUUAUCUGUCCAAGUGUCCAUGCACAGCUCUGUCGACUUGAUGUGCUGA
RNAcentral lists this ribosomal RNA (546 nucleotides) under Triticum aestivum (bread wheat). RNAcentral's name for it is "partial small subunit ribosomal RNA". Lineage: Eukaryota; Viridiplantae; Streptophyta; Magnoliopsida; Poales; Poaceae. The record is from RNAcentral.